UUGGCCCUGUGGCCGUGGCCUGGUACUGGGUAGUGUUGGGGUGCAGCCCAAGCCCCCACGCCGCUAACUCCAGCCCCUUGCUCUUUUGGGAUCCGCAGAAGCUGGAGGAUCAGGAGCAGCGGGCCCGACAGCUCAAGGAGAGGCUGCGCAGCAAGCAGAAGAGCCUGCAGCGGCAGCUGGAGCAGCUCCGGGGGCUGGCAGGGGCCGCCGAGCGGGAGCGGCUGCGGGCGGACAGCCUGGACUCCUCAGGCCUCUCCUCUGAGCGCUCAGACUCAGACCAAGGAUCCUGACGUGGCUGAAGCGGCCCCGGGAGCAUGAGCGGGCAGCGCGUGGACGUCAAGGUGGUGAUGCUGGGCAAGGAGUACGUGGGCAAGACUAGCCUGGUGGAGCGCUACGUGCACGACCGCUUUCUGGUGGGGCCUUAUCAGAACACCAUCGGGGCCGCCUUCGUGGCCAAGGUGAUGUCGGUCGGAGACCGGACUGUGACAUUAGGUAUUUGGGACACAGCAGGCUCUGAGCGCUAUGAGGCCAUGAGUAGAAUCUACUAUCGGGGUGCCAAGGCUGCCAUCGUCUGCUAUG
Molecule: small RNA, 579 nt
Filed under: Pongo abelii (Sumatran orangutan)
Lineage: Eukaryota; Metazoa; Chordata; Mammalia; Primates; Hominidae
Description: retained intron
Source: RNAcentral